RNAcentral lists this long non-coding RNA (690 nucleotides) under Trifolium pratense (red clover). Its description in RNAcentral is "long non-coding RNA (TPRA_LNC007066)". The record is from RNAcentral. Lineage: Eukaryota; Viridiplantae; Streptophyta; Magnoliopsida; Fabales; Fabaceae.
GUUUGUUUAUGUUAUGACUCUAUUUCUUUCCCUUUUUCUUGUUGCAGCUAACAUUGACGGUAACCCAUCUCUUUCUUGUUAAAUUUUCUUCUUAUAUUUUAAUAUAAUCUUAUAUCCCUUUUAAUUAGUAACAUUUUUAUGUUUUGUUUUGUUUCAUUACAGUAAUUUAUGACUGUGAUAAAGACUCCCAAUGUGUAAACAAAGUUAAGUGUAAGGCUAAACUAAUUCCGGUUUGUAGAAACCACAAAUGUAUUUGUGAUCCUCAUCUUGGUCCGAGAACAACUUGGAGUGCAAGAUCGUAGAGAGUGCACGAAUUUCCUAUAUGGUAGAAUGAUUUCUUGAACUACCAAAAUAUCAAAUAGUUUAUGAUAAAAUAUUUCCUACAUUGGCAUCCAAUAAAAAUUGAAUUAUUUUUCUUUUUAUUUUUCCAUUCCAUAAUUUCACAUACCAUGCAGUUAUGGUUUUUUGUAAUUUAAGAUGGUGGUAAUUAAUAAAAUGAAAUAAAGUAGCAAAUGCUAUAAUUUAAAUUGAAUUCUUCCAUAACACUUUGUUUUCCUUAUACUUCAACUUAUUAUUUUGAGACACACUACUUUUACAAAGGAUUGUCGUCACAUACUUGUGAUUAGGUCCAUAGCACAAAAUGUAUGCAUGAAUGCAAAUUAAACACCUAUGUUAGUAAUCAUAAGGAAU